Molecule: ribosomal RNA, 678 nt
Filed under: uncultured crenarchaeote
Lineage: Archaea; Thermoproteati; Thermoproteota
Description: bacterial SSU rRNA
Rfam family: Archaeal small subunit ribosomal RNA
Source: RNAcentral
AGUCAACAUGCCCAGAGGACGUGGAUAACCCCGGGAAGCUGAGUCUAAACCGCGAUAAGUGAGGAUUUCUGGAAUGGUUCCUGACUAAAAUCUAUAUGGCCUCUGGAUUGGACUGCGGCCGAUCAGGCUGUUGGUGAGGUAAUGGCCCACCAAACCUGUAACCGGUACGGGCUCUGAGAGGAGGAGCCCGGAGAUGGGCACUGAGACAAGGGCCCAGGCCCUAUGGGGCGCAGCAGGCGCGAAACCUCUGCAAUAGGCGAAAGCCUGACAGGGUUACUCUGAGUGACUUUCGCUAAGAAAGUCUUUUGGCACCUCUAAAAAGGGUGCAGAAUAAGGGGUGGGCAAGUCUGGUGUCAGCCGCCGCGGUAAUACCAGCACCCCGAGUGGUCGGGACGAUUAUUGGGCCUAAAGCAUCCGUAGCCGGUUCUGCAAGUCCCCCGUUAAAUCCAGCUGCUCAACAGAUGGGCCGCGGAGGAUACUACAGAGCUAGGAGGCAGGAGAGGCAAGCGGUACUCAGUGGGUAGGGGUAAAAUCCGUUGAUCCAUUGAAGACCACCAGUGGCGAAGGCGGCUUGCCAGAAUGCGCUCGACGGUGAGGGAUGAAAGCUGGGGGAGCAAACCGGAUUAGAUACCCGGGUAGUCCCAGCCGUAAACGAUGCAGACUCGGUGAUGGGUUGGC